This is a long non-coding RNA of Drosophila pseudoobscura, 459 nucleotides long. RefSeq lists it as uncharacterized. The transcript is spliced from 3 exons. The record is from RefSeq and is a predicted model, not a curated record. Lineage: Eukaryota; Metazoa; Arthropoda; Insecta; Diptera; Drosophilidae.
UCCAAAUUUUGUUUUCAAGGUACAUUGUUCAUCAAAACUCGACUAGCCAGCGGUUCGAUAAAACCAAAUUACGCUCUCCGACCUAUUUUUGCGUUGCAUGUUUGAGCUUCAGGUUCGAUGUUCGAUGAUGCAGCAGUGUGACCGUCUGACCUCAAAGAUAUACCAGACAAAUGAGAUGACAAAUACCUGAUCAAUUUGUGGUAAAUUAGUGGAAUAGAAAGUAAAAUUUAAUCUCCGCCGAAGCUGAGGGAUCCCAGACCCAAAGACCUCUGGAGGAUCGCGUAGCAAUUUCUGUUUGUACGUUUCCGCUGAAUAAACUGGCACAUCUAUAUACUGGUUCCACCAUGGUUAGAGUUUGAAAUUCCGUUACAAAUAUGCUAAUAUGUAUAAUUCUGAUAAGGUAAUCAUUCCCAUAGGAAUUCCCGCCCCCUGCAAAUUAAAAAACAAAAAACACCUGCA